This 414-nucleotide ribosomal RNA is filed under the name uncultured microorganism. RNAcentral describes it as "bacterial SSU rRNA". It matches the Rfam family "Archaeal small subunit ribosomal RNA", at positions 459 to 872 of the family's 1478-position model. The record is from RNAcentral.
CAGCCGCCGCGGUAAUACCGGCGGCCCGAGUGGCGGUCACUAUCAUUGGGCUUAAAGCGUCCGUAGCCGGGUUGGGAAAUCCUCCGGGAAAUCUGGCCGCUUAACGGUCAGAAUGCCGGAGGAUACUCCCAGCCUAGGGGGCGGGAGAGGCCGAGGGGAUUCCCGGGGUAGGGGUGAAAUCCUAUAAUCCCGGGAGGACCACCUGUGGCGAAGGCGCUCGGCUGGAACGCGUCCGACGGUGAGGGACGAAGGCCAGGGGAGCAAACCGGAUUAGAUACCCGGGUAGUCCUGGCUGUAAACGAUGCGGACUUUGUGUCGGACAAGCUAUGAGCUUGUCCGGUGCCGGAGGGAAACCGUUAAGUCCGCCGCCUGGGGAGUACGGCCGCAAGGCUGAAACUUAAAGGAAUUGGCGGG